RNAcentral lists this ribosomal RNA (393 nucleotides) under uncultured bacterium. RNAcentral describes it as "bacterial SSU rRNA". It matches the Rfam family "Bacterial small subunit ribosomal RNA", at positions 975 to 1368 of the family's 1533-position model. The record is from RNAcentral.
CUGGGUUUGACAUACACCAGACGCGUCUAGAGAUAGGCGUUCCCUUGUGGUUGGUGUACAGGUGGUGCAUGGCUGUCGUCAGCUCGUGUCGUGAGAUGUUGGGUUAAGUCCCGCAACGAGCGCAACCCUUGUCCUGUUUUGCCAGCGGGUUAUGCCGGGGACUUGCAGGAGACUGCCGGGGUCAACUCGGAGGAAGGUGGGGAUGACGUCAAGUCAUCAUGCCCCUUAUGUCCAGGGCUUCACACAUGCUACAAUGGCCGGUACAGAGGGCUGCGAUACCGUGAGGUGGAGCGAAUCCCUUAAAGCCGGUCUCAGUUCGGAUCGGGGUCUGCAACUCGACCCCGUGAAGUCGGAGUCGCUAGUAAUCGCAGAUCAGCAACGCUGCGGUGAAUA